GACGGAGGAUGCAAGCGUUAUCCGGAAUCAUUGGGCGUAAAGCGUCCGCAGGUGGCAGUUCAAGUCUGCUGUCAAAGACCGGGGCUUAACUUCGGAAAGGCAGUGGAAACUGAACAGCUAGAGUAUGGUAGGGGCAGAGGGAAUUCCUGGUGUAGCGGUGAAAUGCGUAGAGAUCAGGAAGAACAUCGGUGGCGAAGGCGCUCUGCUGGACCAUAACUGACACUCAGGGACGAAAGCUAGGGGAGCGAACAGG
This 253-nucleotide ribosomal RNA is filed under the name uncultured bacterium. Its description in RNAcentral is "partial 16S ribosomal RNA". It matches the Rfam family "Bacterial small subunit ribosomal RNA", at positions 524 to 776 of the family's 1533-position model. The record is from RNAcentral.